UGAAAGGCACGGGCCUAAGCCUAAUAGUUUAUAGCUGCUUUCUCGUGAGAGUAGUGAUAUAAGCCUUAUUAGCUGCGGGUUCAGUCUCAUCAGUAGUUGUGGGGUUCCCUCCUUUGAGUUCGAGGUCCAGUAAAGAGAUGAUCUUCUAUAUUCAACAAGAACAGGAAAAGAACUAUUCGAAACUGACUAUAAGGGCCUAGACUCAACUAGCUCUAGCUCAUGACCUAUCCUUUCAUACCCGCUUGCUACUGACUUUCUAACAGCUCCUUCUCUUUCCACUGAGUAUGGGCCGAGAAGUCAAACAAUCAUUGAUUCUCUCUCUUGCUAAGAGGACCGAGUAAAACAGACAAGUCACUACUGGACAAGUAAAGGAACAGGAACAGAGGCUCAAGUAAGGUUCGCAGCUGAAUGGGCUGAUUUAUCUGUUUCUAUUCUCAAUGAGGAGUGCUUUAUAAAGUGUGUCUAAAGAGUGGGUGAGGAGUGCUUAUUUGAGUUUCAAGAGUGGGAAUGGAGCUCGGCAUAUAAGAACAGUUCCCGCUGUCAGUUAUCUAUUCUCUGCUCUCUAGAUAGGUAAGAGAGUCAUAGUGUCUGCUGAUCUCCUUGACCUCAAACAUAGACCAGCCCAUCAUGCCAAACAAGCUAUUGACUCGUAAAAACAUCUCUCUCUGACUGGACCCUAAAACAUAUGUUACAGGGCGGAGCUCUUAUUGGUUAAAGUGCUACUCCUCCCAUCUUUUCUGCUUCAAGAGAUAUCUUCUAUCUUGAGAUCCUGCGCCAACUCAUUCCCUUCCCGCAACUGAACAAGUAUACCCGCUGACGACUUAAAGGCAACACUUCUCUGACUCUUAAUUAUAUUACAUUUGCAGAUGAUCUCUAUGACUUAGAGCGGAAGCACCAACACUCGAACCCGACCUAUCCUUUAAGUUCAGAACCGACUUAACCCAUUAACGGAAUUGCUGAUGCUCCUUAUCCAGCUUGAACACUUGAUUGACCAGAUUGAGAGUAGACAACAAACAACAAACAAGGAUUUGACAAAUUGACUUAAGGGGCUGGAACUGGCACCACUACAAGGGAAAGCCGAUAACCAACCUCCCCAUACGUAAACAAGGGAAGGGCGCAAGUCCUUGAAGCACUAUCAAAGGGAAGAGCCUAUUACAGAUACAGAAGCACUAACAAAGGUAAAGCAAAGAACUGAUCUCUAAGAUUUCAUAAGAUAUAAGAUAGUAUGCCCCGGCAAGUAAGAUAGGUAGCCCUCAAACACUUUAAGUAAGUAAGAUAGUCUGCCCCGCCCUCUAGGCCUUAGAAACAUAAUCAAAUCAAUAUCAAUUAAUUAUAUCUUAAUAAAGGAACUCGCCCUCACUUAUUAAGGCAGCUUGGUCAGUGGAAAACAUUCCCUACUAUAUUCUAUAUUAUCUUAUAUUAGGAUUAGGAUGAAAUUGAUGAUUACACUCGGGAAAGACUUUCACUCCCACUACUCGGCACCAACACUCGAGACCUUACCCCCAACAGCAAAUCUCUCUCCUCCCUCUCGCCAACAAACAUAGAUGAACCUGGGGAUCGGGAUUCUUUUCUCACUCUCACUGGAACACCUGAUAGAGAGUCGACAACCUCAACUCACACUGCAGCUGACAGGGUAAACAGGCAAUUCCAUUCUUUUAGAAAGUACCGGCUCUGGCUCAUCUCUUCUCUCCAUACCAUACAGAGCUAGAUCAGAUACAACAAAAAGUAAAGGUGAGGAAGCUUAAAGUACUAUUGAUCCUGGGUUAAGUAAAGGCUUUGAGGCGGUAAGGAAAUCCAGAAUAGGAAUGAAAAAACUUAUAUAAUAUAGCUAUUGCAUGGUAUGGGAAGCAAAGGGGGUGGUGGAUAGGUGAGGAAACCUGAUUAUUGAUUCUUUUCGCCCUGCUUGAACGCAUGAUUGAGAGUUGCGUGUACUCUUUUUGACCCUUCAUUAGUUGUUGCCUUACUUAUAACGGGAUAAUUGCCAGGCCAGUGCUUUAGUUGGCUCUUUCUUGUAGCGUCGGUAGAGGCAGGUGCUUCUUCAGUAAGGUGUCGUAGAGUAUAUGAGGCUUUUACCCUGCCGUUGCUUGCUCCCUUGCUCGUUGUAAAUACACUGCUUCCCGACAAUUACUAUAAGGGCCUCGACUCAGGUAUUGAAGUUAUGAAUUUCAUUAGUGUCAUAUUGAUCAUUGCUUCAAACAAGCACAAUCACCUCUUUCGUCACCAACUACUGAUCCAACUCUAUCUGCUUACUUUGGCACUGCUUCCUCACCUGUUCUUUGAACUUCCACUGCCCUCACACUUUCACUACUGACUUGCCCUUACUUGAGAGCACACUGCCGCGCAACACGAACAUGGGCUGCCGACCCACCCUCUGGUAUUGAAGUUUCGAAUUGCAUUUCAUUUGAAGACAUAGCUUCUCUGGGAUAAGUGUUUGUUAGUACGUUGCCAUGAGAAAGUCCUGGCUUAAUAAGGGAGAUUGAGAGGCUGUCGCAAGUGUUUCUGAUCCUUCUUCUGUAGAGAUUAGAUGCUAUGAUAGCUCUUCAAACGUAUCCGACCCGAACUCGUACCCGUAGCUGCCGAACACAGGUUCACUCUUUUUCACCGAUACCUGAAAUAGGGGUUUUCUUAAUCUUAAUGCCUACGAAACUCUGGAUUCCACUCGAACAGCAGCUUACUUGAGAAUAGAAGUUAGCAGAGAUGAGCC
Molecule: long non-coding RNA, 2704 nt
Filed under: Musa acuminata (dwarf banana)
Lineage: Eukaryota; Viridiplantae; Streptophyta; Magnoliopsida; Zingiberales; Musaceae
Description: long non-coding RNA (MACU_LNC010825)
Source: RNAcentral